CUUGCUUGGGUACUCGAGUGGCGAACGGGUGAGUAACACGUGGGUGAUCUGCCCUGCACUUCGGGAUAAGCCUGGGAAACUGGGUCUAAUACCGGAUAGGAACCGUCUUUAGUGUGGUGGUUGGAAAGUUUUUCGGUGCAAGAUGAGCUCGCGGCCUAUCAGCUUGUUGGUGGGGUAAUGGCCUACCAAGGCGUCGACGGGUAGCCGGCCUGAGAGGGUGUACGGCCACAUUGGGACUGAGAUACGGCCCAG
RNAcentral lists this ribosomal RNA (252 nucleotides) under uncultured Actinomycetales bacterium. Its description in RNAcentral is "partial 16S ribosomal RNA". It matches the Rfam family "Bacterial small subunit ribosomal RNA", at positions 79 to 334 of the family's 1533-position model. Lineage: Bacteria; Bacillati; Actinomycetota; Actinomycetes; Actinomycetales. The record is from RNAcentral.